CACGUCCUUUUGAUAAUAAUUUAAGGUCUGAUCUGCUCAAUGAUAAUUAAAUUGCCGCAGUAUUUUGACUGUGCAAAGGUAGCAUAAUAAUUAGUUUCUUAAUUAGAAACUGGAAUGAAUGAUUGGACAAGAAAAUUUCUGUCUCUUUUUUAAUUUUUUUGAAUUUUAUUUUUAAGUGAAAAAGCUUAAAUAUUUAUAAAAGACGAGAAGACCCUAUAGAGUUUGAUAUUUUUGCAUAAUUUAAUAUUAGAAUUAUUUUUUGGGCAGAUUUAUUUAGUUGGGGUGAUUUGAAGAUUAAAAAAAUUCUUUAAAAGUUAAAUUGAUGAUUCUUAAAUUUUAAAUCUAUAGUUUAUAAAACUAAAAUUAAUUACCUUAGGGAUAACAGCGUAAUUUUUCUUAAAAGUUCAUAUUAAAAGGAAAGUUUGCGACCUCGAUGUUGGAUUAAAAUAAAUUUUUGGUGCAAUAACUUAAAAAUUAGGUCUGUUCGACCUUUAAAAUUUUACAUGAUCUGAGUUUAAACCGGUGUAAACCAGGUUGGAUUCUAUCUUUAGAAAGUUAAUAUAUUUUAGUACGAAAGGACCAAAUAUGUAUUAAAUUAAUUG
Molecule: ribosomal RNA, 602 nt
Filed under: Metriorrhynchus sp. UPOL A00034
Lineage: Eukaryota; Metazoa; Arthropoda; Insecta; Coleoptera; Lycidae
Description: partial 16S ribosomal RNA
Rfam family: Bacterial large subunit ribosomal RNA
Source: RNAcentral